UGCGACUCGUGUGAGACUAUGUCAUAUGGUGUGAGACAUAUGCUACCGUAGUUUUAUCAUAUGUGUUUAAUUUUGCGAGAUUCUUAUAUUGUGCCCUAAUGAUCAUGCUCACUUCACUUCUUGAAGUUAUAUUACUCUCAGUGGUUACAUUUGUGCAAGUAGUGUGUGUCUAUAAAAUAUAGGGGGGUGUUGAUCCUAGUGUGUGCACUUUGCAUUCCAAAAGCAUACUUAAAUAGUACACACACUUAGGGGAGUCUGCCUAUAUUUUGUAGAGAGUGGGGUUGCAUUGUAUAUCAUUUUAUCCUGUAUGCAAAUCCAGUGUUGUCAUCAAUCCACAAAAAAGGGGGAGAUUGUUAGGGCAUAUUUCUACCCAAGUACUUUUGGUGAUUGAUGACAAUACAUUUGCGGACUAAUCGUGUGCGAUAAGCCUUUCAGGUACUUCCUCGGUUUGCAUAAAAAUAAUUCCUGACCCUCGGUGUAUUGAUGUGAAGACAGUUUUCUCUCUUACGUUUCGUUGUUGGUGGAGUUGAGUCAUUGGAAAAGUCGUACUAUUAAGAGGGGAUCGACUUUGGAAAAGUCUGGGUGGAAUCAUCACGCACA
RNAcentral lists this long non-coding RNA (600 nucleotides) under Hordeum vulgare. Its description in RNAcentral is "long non-coding RNA (HVUL_LNC006981)". The record is from RNAcentral. Lineage: Eukaryota; Viridiplantae; Streptophyta; Magnoliopsida; Poales; Poaceae.